UCUGACAUUAAAAGGAAAACAAUGUAUUUCUCGCACAGUAUAAGCUAAUUUAAGUUCUGUAAUGAUGUCAUAAAAUAAAUAUAGAUGACUGAGACGCAAAACAAGGACCAAAAACCCAGCGUCAUAUUAUAUAAAUUAACCCAACAUGACUAAUGAGAAGGAAAAAACAACCAUGAAGCCAGAAAUGCACCGUCAGCCUGCUUUCAGAAUAAGGGCGCCUUUGCGCGGCGAAAAUAGUUUCGUAGGGCGGAACAUUAUGUGCAUAGUCUUAUCCGGAAUAGCUAUAACGAUUAUUGGAUUCAUUAUUGUGAUGGUGAUUUUCUUGUGCCGAGAAUAUGCUUGAAAGAAUAAAAUGUUUUUGACUAUUUUGGUAUAUU
Maniola jurtina (meadow brown) is the source of this 377-nucleotide long non-coding RNA. RefSeq lists it as uncharacterized. NCBI's taxonomy places the organism in Eukaryota, Metazoa, Arthropoda, Insecta, Lepidoptera, Nymphalidae. The record is from RefSeq and is a predicted model, not a curated record. The transcript is spliced from 2 exons.